This is an RNA transcript of Bufo bufo (common toad), 2163 nucleotides long. It is a transcript of the gene named lateral signaling target protein 2 homolog, with no coding region annotated. The transcript is spliced from 14 exons. The record is from RefSeq and is a predicted model, not a curated record. NCBI's taxonomy places the organism in Eukaryota, Metazoa, Chordata, Amphibia, Anura, Bufonidae.
CGGAGUGCGGUUUGGAGCGUAGUCAUGUGCUGACAGGGAGAGCGGGGCAUUAGUAGUCAGAGCUGGGACGCAGGACGGGACCAUGUUACCCUCUAUGGUGCGGAGGUGGCUGAACAGACCGAAGAAGUCAGAUCCUCGUCUAAUGGCAAAAUUCUUUUAUGUUGAUGAGGAGGUGAGCUCGAUUGUACAUGAAUUACAGUGCCUUGAUGUGCGUAAGGACCCUCAGAAUUACUUGGUUUUGCUUGGCCAAUUACACAACAGCCAGGAGCGCAUGCUUUCUAUUCUGGAGCAGAUCCUAGACCAGUGUGUACCAACAAAGAGGAGGCAGAGAGACUAUCACCUCAAGUUUCCUGAUGACAUUGUAAAUAAUAAUAUGACGGCUCAUCUACUUUUUGCUGCUGAGCUUUUGGUAGGAGGCACAUAUGUUGAAGUGGAAGAGGCAGAUGGAGUUUUACUUCGACCCCUGGCCCAAGAGCUGCUACAGAGUCUGGAAUGUCUGAGACGGGAUCUAAGGGAACAAAGCCUUCAAGAUCCUGGAAUAUAUCCAGAAUCAAGCCACAAAGCUAUGCUACAGUAUGAUAAUCUGUGUGCAGAGUUUGAGCUGAGGUAUAUGUCGUUGGUGGUAAGUGUAAAGUCUCCUGAAGAAAUCUACGAGCAGCAGGAAGUAGCAGUACUUUUCUGUGAGACUGUUUCCAGAGCUCUACAGAGAGGACACCUAACACAGGAAAUGAUUGAUGAUUGUGAACCAGAGUUGAUGAUUUCCAUACCACGCUUGGCAAUUAUCAGUGGUCUUCUAAUAUUUCCCGAUGGACCAUUAAACUUGGAGAGACCACCAGAGAAGAUGUGUGAACUGUUCAGUCCAUUCUAUGGCCUCCUGAAGAAAAUAAGGGAAAUACUCUGCAUAUUGACUGAGAAAGAACUAUUUUCCCUUGAAAGAGCAUUGAGCUCAUCCUCUGAAGAUCCUUCCACGCCCCUGCCAGCCUGUAUGCCAACAUCAACUGAUUCAGGUUCUUUAGACUACGGUGGCCAAUCUGUGAAUUCCAAGCUCCCAUCUGCCAAUGAACAGACUUUCCAAAAUACAUCUUGGCCAAACUUUUCACAUGGUAACAUUGUGGCAUGUAAUAAUACAGUAUCUGGCACGUACUAUCCAUGUGCUCAGCAAGGUACUGUGGCAGUAGACUCCGAAUACAAGAGAAGCCAAGAUGUGAAACCACAGAAUGGUGCAAGAAGACCUGCAGAAAUUCUCCGCAAUGUGCAUGUCCGAUGUUCUGUUAGGGGAUCCAAGCUCAGUGACGUGCGUUCCCGGUACCGCAGUGACAGUGAUAUGCUGCAUCGUCUCUUUGUAUGCAUUGCUGGUGUUGCUGACCAACUGCAGACUAACUUUGCAAGUGACUUGCGUGUUAUUCUGAAAACUGUGUUUGAGACGACGAGCUCCAGGCAGCAAGUGGAUACGCAGAGAUCGUCUGAAAAUGCCUUUCAUUUACCCGAUUGUUCUGCUUGCCAAAGGGAACGGGAGGUUGGAGAAGCAACCAUUGAACCUCCAGAAUGGGUUCCAGACAGUGCGAGCACCCAAUGCAUGAGUUGCUAUGCUCCCUUCACACUAUUACGGAGGCGGCAUCACUGUCGAAGUUGUGGAAAGAUUUUCUGCUCCCGCUGCUCGGGUUAUACAACGUCUCUUCCUCAUGUUCAUAAUACUCAGCCUGUUCGAGUAUGUUCUCAUUGUUACCAUGUGCACUGCAGUUCUCAGAAUCGACAGAAAAAGAAGAUUGAGAUCACCACCUAGUGGGAUACUUCUAUAGCAACUGAAGAAAAGUGGUUUGGAAGCACAUUUCAUUCCCCCUUUUGUAACAGUAUGAAUACUGACUGGCUUUUCAUGUAUGAAUAUUUUUGGACAGUACUUUGUGUUUACAUUGAAGUAUGAGCAGCGAGCCUCCAUUUACAGGGUACAUUAAAAAUUCAAUGGGGUAGCUAAUUUAUAUUCUUGAAUUGUGAAUCUUUUUCUUUACAUGAUUUUAUGUGUAUAUUGUGUUCAGUGUAUAUACUCUUCUACUAGUAUCGGUGAUUACUCUUAUAUUUAUGCUACAUCCUGAGCACUUAAAAUGGACCUUUCACCGAUUAUUACACUAUGAACUAACUAUACAGACAUGUAGAGCGGUGCCCGGG